RNAcentral lists this long non-coding RNA (361 nucleotides) under Mus caroli (Ryukyu mouse). RNAcentral describes it as "predicted gene 11656 (MGP_CAROLIEiJ_G0034451.1)". The record is from RNAcentral. Lineage: Eukaryota; Metazoa; Chordata; Mammalia; Rodentia; Muridae.
CAGUAAAUACAUCCACUUUAAUUAUUCAUUUCUAUUUGCUUGAAGAAACAUUCUUACAUGACACGCAUACGUCCGUGCAUUUCCUUGUUGCAGCAACAUGAAUUAAAUAAGCCUCUUUCAACAAGUAGACCAACUCCAAGGGAUUUCUCGCUAACUUGUUUUCUCUAUGCUCUUCGCACUUUCUCUGCUCAGUUGAAGAAAAGGUAGUGCCUGGUAACCCGGAAGAUGUCAGGAACAAGACAGGAGGAUCUUUCCAGUGCUCCUUCAAGUAACUUGGCUGACUUUCUACUCACUGGAAAUCUUCUUCCAAGUAUCCAGAGAGUGACACAAUGCACAGCCCGUGUCUUACAAGAACACUUGA